RNAcentral lists this long non-coding RNA (216 nucleotides) under Vigna radiata. Its description in RNAcentral is "long non-coding RNA (VRAD_LNC000986)". Lineage: Eukaryota; Viridiplantae; Streptophyta; Magnoliopsida; Fabales; Fabaceae. The record is from RNAcentral.
GGGCACAAAAAACACAAAAUAUUUUGUUUUCUUUAGAGUUUUAUUUUUUUAGGGGAAAUUAAACAUUUUGCAAACCACAUCAAAUUCGCGUAUUUAAUUAAAGGUACUGCCUUAGGGCAGGCAUUGUGGGGGUGCUAACACCUUCCCCACACGUAACCGACUUUCGAAACCAGAAUUUGGUUUUGUAGACCUUGCCUUAUCAUUUUAUGGUUUUUC